GAAACCGGGUGAUCUAGCCAUGGGCAGGUUGAAGGUUGAGUAACAUCAACUGGAGGACCGAACCGACUAAUGUUGAAAAAUUAGCGGAUGACUUGUGGCUAGGGGUGAAAGGCCAAUCAAACUCGGAGAUAGCUGGUUCUCCCCGAAAGCUAUUUAGGUAGCGCCUCGGACGAAUACUACUGGGGGUAGAGCACUGUUAAGGCUAGGGGGUCAUCCCGACUUACCAACCCUUUGCAAACUCCGAAUACCAGUAAGUACUAUCCGGGAGACACACGGCGGGUGCUAACGUCCGUCGUGGAGAGGGAAACAACCCAGACCGCCAGCUAAGGUCCCAAAGUAUUGCUAAGUGGGAAACGAUGUGGGAAGGCUCAGACAGCUAGGAUGUUGGCUUAGAAGCAGCCAUCAUUUAAAGAAAGCGUAAUAGCUCACUAGUCGAGUCGGCCUGCGCGGAAGAUGUAACGGGGCUAAGCAAUACACCGAAGCUGCGGCAAUAUCUUUUAGAUAUUGGGUAGGGGAGCGUUCUGUAAGCCGUUGAAGGUGAAUCGUAAGGUUUGCUGGAGGUAUCAGAAGUGCGAAUGCUGACAUGAGUAACGACAAAGGGGGUGAAAAACCUCCUCGCCGGAAGACCAAGGGUUCCUGUCCAACGUUAAUCGGGGCAGGGUGAGUCGACCCCUAAGGUGAGGCCGAAAGGCGUAAUCGAUGGGAAACGGGUUAAUAUUCCCGUACUUCUGACUAUUGCGAUGGGGGGACGGAGAAGGCUAGGUGGGCCAGGCGACGGUUGUCCUGGUUCAAGUGCGUAGGCUUGAGAGUUAGGUAAAUCCGGCUCUCUCUAAGGCUGAGACACGACGUCGAGCUGCUACGGCAGUGAAGUCAUUGAUGCCAUGCUUCCAGGAAAAGCCUCUAAGCUUCAGAUAGUCAGGAAUCGUACCCCAAACCGACACAGGUGGUCGGGUAGAGAAUACCAAGGCGCUUGAGAGAACUCGGGUGAAGGAACUAGGCAAAAUGGUACCGUAACUUCGGGAGAAGGUACGCUCUUGAUGGUGAAGUCCCUCGCGGAUGGAGCUGACGAGAGUCGCAGAUACCAGGUGGCUGCAACUGUUUAUUAAAAACACAGCACUGUGCAAAAUCGCAAGAUGACGUAUACGGUGUGACGCCUGCCCGGUGCCGGAAGGUUAAUUGAUGGGGUUAGCGCAAGCGAAGCUCUUGAUCGAAGCCCCGGUAAACGGCGGCCGUAACUAUAACGGUCCUAAGGUAGCGAAAUUCCUUGUCGGGUAAGUUCCGACCUGCACGAAUGGCGUAAUGAUGGCCACGCUGUCUCCACCCGAGACUCAGUGAAAUUGAAAUCGCUGUGAAGAUGCAGUGUACCCGCGGCUAGACGGAAAGACCCCGUGAACCUUUACUACAGCUUGGCACUGAACAUUGAACCUACAUGUGUAGGAUAGGUGGGAGGCUAUGAAGACGUGACGCCAGUUGCGUUGGAGCCGUCCUUGAAAUACCACCCUUGUAUGUUUGAUGUUCUAACUUAGACCCAUUAUCUGGGUUGAGGACAGUGCCUGGUGGGUAGUUUGACUGGGGCGGUCUCCUCCCAAAGAGUAACGGAGGAGCACGAAGGUGGGCUAAUCACGGUUGGACAUCGUGAGGUUAGUGCAAUGGCAUAAGCCCGCUUAACUGCGAGAAUGACGGUUCGAGCAGGUGCGAAAGCAGGUCAUAGUGAUCCGGUGGUUCUGUAUGGAAGGGCCAUCGCUCAACGGAUAAAAGGUACUCCGGGGAUAACAGGCUGAUACCGCCCAAGAGUUCAUAUCGACGGCGGUGUUUGGCACCUCGAUGUCGGCUCAUCACAUCCUGGGGCUGAAGUCGGUCCCAAGGGUAUGGCUGUUCGCCAUUUAAAGUGGUACGCGAGCUGGGUUUAGAACGUCGUGAGACAGUUCGGUCCCUAUCUGCCGUGGGCGUUGGAAGAUUGAAGGGGGCUGCUCCUAGUACGAGAGGACCGGAGUGGACGAACCUCUGGUGUUCGGGUUGUGUCGCCAGACGCAUUGCCCGGUAGCUAAGUUCGGAAUUGAUAAGCGCUGAAAGCAUCUAAGCGCGAAGCGAGCCCUGAGAUGAGUCUUCCCUGAUACUUUAAGUAUCCUAAAGGGUUGUUCGAG
This 2144-nucleotide ribosomal RNA is filed under the name Vibrio cholerae. Its description in RNAcentral is "partial 23S ribosomal RNA". It matches the Rfam family "Bacterial large subunit ribosomal RNA", at positions 717 to 2843 of the family's 2925-position model. Lineage: Bacteria; Pseudomonadati; Pseudomonadota; Gammaproteobacteria; Vibrionales; Vibrionaceae. The record is from RNAcentral.